RNAcentral lists this ribosomal RNA (500 nucleotides) under uncultured bacterium. RNAcentral describes it as "partial 16S ribosomal RNA". It matches the Rfam family "Bacterial small subunit ribosomal RNA", at positions 28 to 507 of the family's 1533-position model. The record is from RNAcentral.
GACGAACGCUGGCGGCGUGCUUAACACAUGCAAGUCGAACGGGUCUGCCCUGUUUUUUGCGGGGUGGGUCAGUGGCGAACGGGUGAGUAACACGUGAGUAACCUGCCCCUCACUUCUGGAUAACCGCUUGAAAGGGUGGCUAAUACGGGGUGUUCUGGCUGUGCCGCAUGGUGUGGCUGGGAAAGAUUCACUUUUGUGGUGUUUUGGUGGGGGAUGGGCUCGCGGCCUAUCAGCUUGUUGGUGGGGUGAUGGCCUGCCAAGGCUUUGACGGGUAGCCGGCCUGAGAGGGUGGGCGGUCACACUGGGACUGAGAUACGGCCCAGACUCCUGCGGGAGGCAGCAGUGGGGGGUAUUGCACAAUGGGCGGAAGCCUGAUGCAGCGACGUCACGUGAGGGAUGGAGGCCUUCGGGUUGUGAACCUCUUUCGCCGGUGAAGAAGGUCCUGCUCUUUGUGGUGGGGUUGACGGUAGCCGGGUUAUGAAGCGCCGGCUAACUACGUG